UUGAUUCCUUGGAGGAAUUUCUGGAGUUUGAAGAAGAUCCUGAAAGACAACGAUCUCUAAAACACCAUCUUAUCAACGUUGGCGGUGUCACAGUUAGAGAUGCUCUCAACCAAUUUCUGAAGGAAGUCAUGACGGAUAGCCUGACAAAAAAAUUCUCUUAGACCGGAAAGUCUGUUUCAAAUAAAGAGAAUCUGCGACCACUCUUUGAUACCUCUAUCGGAAAGAUGCCUUACGUGAGUGUGGAACGAUACCGCAACCACAUGAGCGGACA
Long non-coding RNA from Diprion similis, 271 nucleotides. RefSeq lists it as uncharacterized. The record is from RefSeq and is a predicted model, not a curated record. The transcript has 3 exons. NCBI's taxonomy places the organism in Eukaryota, Metazoa, Arthropoda, Insecta, Hymenoptera, Diprionidae.